GGGGCUGUAGCUCAGUGGUAGAGCACUUGCCUUGCACAUGUGAGAGGCACUGGGUUCGAUCUUCAGCACCACA
This 73-nucleotide transfer RNA is filed under the name Marmota monax (woodchuck). RNAcentral describes it as "tRNA.Ala". It matches the Rfam family "tRNA". From Rfam's summary of the family: Transfer RNA (tRNA) molecules are approximately 80 nucleotides in length. Their secondary structure includes four short double-helical elements and three loops (D, anti-codon, and T loops). The record is from RNAcentral. Lineage: Eukaryota; Metazoa; Chordata; Mammalia; Rodentia; Sciuridae.